This 492-nucleotide ribosomal RNA is filed under the name uncultured bacterium. RNAcentral's name for it is "partial 16S ribosomal RNA". It matches the Rfam family "Bacterial small subunit ribosomal RNA", at positions 30 to 507 of the family's 1533-position model. The record is from RNAcentral.
AUUGAACGCUGGCGGUAGGCCUAACACAUGCAAGUCGAACGGCAGCACAGUAAGAGCUUGCGCUUACGGGUGGCGAGUGGCGGACGGGUGAGGAAUACAUCGGAAUCUACUUUUUCGUGGGGGAUAACGUAGGGAAACUUACGCUAAUACCGCAUACGACCUACGGGUGAAAGCAGGGGAUCUUCGGACCUUGCGCGAUUGAAUGAGCCGAUGUCGGAUUAGCUAGUUGGCGGGGUAAAGGCCCACCAAGGCGACGAUCCGUAGCUGGUCUGAGAGGAUGAUCAGCCACACUGGAACUGAGACACGGUCCAGACUCCUACGGGAGGCAGCAGUGGGGAAUAUUGGACAAUGGGCGCAAGCCUGAUCCAGCCAUACCGCGUGGGUGAAGAAGGCCUUCGGGUUGUAAAGCCCUUUUGUUGGGAAAGAAAAGCAGCAGGUUAAUACCCCGCUGUUCCGACGGUACCCAAAGAAUAAGCACCGGCUAACUUCGUG